RNAcentral lists this ribosomal RNA (253 nucleotides) under uncultured bacterium. RNAcentral describes it as "partial 16S ribosomal RNA". It matches the Rfam family "Bacterial small subunit ribosomal RNA", at positions 524 to 776 of the family's 1533-position model. The record is from RNAcentral.
UACGGAGGGUGCGAGCGUUGUCCGGAAUCACUGGGCGUAAAGCGCACGUAGGCGGCCUUUUAAGUCGGAUGUGAAAGCCCCAGGCUUAACCUGGGAAGUGCAUCCGAUACUGGAAGGCUUGAGUGCUAGAGGGGGUCGCGGAAUUCCGCGUGUAGCAGUGAAAUGCGUAGAGAUGCGGAGGAACACCGAUGGCGAAGGCAGCCCCCUGGGCUGACACUGACGCUCAGGCACGAAAGCGUGGGGAGCAAACAGG